This is a non-coding RNA of Xyrichtys novacula (pearly razorfish), 1736 nucleotides long. NCBI's taxonomy places the organism in Eukaryota, Metazoa, Chordata, Actinopteri, Labriformes, Labridae. The record is from the annotation of a GenBank genome assembly.
UCAGUUCUAAGCUCCUCUCCUCUCCUCCGUUUUCAUCCCUCUAGUCCAUGCAACGUCUGUAAGUGUUCAUACGUUGUUGUAUUGUUGUAUUAAGAUGAAGGUUGUUUAAGUGUAAUUAAGUUGUUAAAACGGCUAUGGCGCUAAUCGCUAAUGCUACACGAAGUUAGCUUCAAGUUUUUCGUUGCUAGCGGCAUUCUAGCUCGUUUGUGAUUAUAACGGCUAAAGCUAAUGUAGCUUAGCUCUACUGUUUGUCUGUGUGUAAGCCGUAACUCAUUGUUUUAUAUGUUACUGAAUCAUUUCAGUUUCACAAGAUUCCUCAGUAAACUUGAAGAGGUGAAUCAACUGCGUCUGAGAGUUUAUUGGGGAGUGUUUAUACUGCUUGGAAGUAGCCCAUGACAGUUGUUGUAUUUAAAGACAAAUUAGAGGUCAGAGUUGAUUUCUGCACCAAAGAGCCGACACACACAGAGAGGUUCACGUUUCAGACACAGAUUACAGUCGUCACACUCAGUCAGUGGUUUCCUGGUAAAAUAAAUAAAGGUCACAUGUUUGUGUUUACAUUCAGUAUUUCUUGCAUACUCCAGAUGCAUGCUGGGAAACCCUCACAUUUAUGUGCUCACAUAGAAACCACGAGCAGUCAGACUCCCACUCAUGCAGGCAGAGGUCCAGGAGCUCAGAGCUCUGGUUUCAUCUCCUCAGCUGCUGACGCCGCGCUCUCAUUGGCUGGCUGUGCUCUUGCAUUCAUGCUGCAGGUUUUUGUGUGUGAGGCGUCUGAGCAGAGCGAUGCGUCCUGCGUCGUGUCGCUGGCGAGCGCAGGGAGAGCGCGCGCCAGCUGCUGUGCUGCAGAAAUGACAUCCCUCUCAGAGAGCGAGCAGCAGAGCGGGACUAACCGAGCUCCACGCUGUCACAUCACAGGAGAUCAGUGUGAGCGAUGAAAACGGCCCCCGGCACAGACGGGGGGGUUUAUAAUCAUAAUCUGACAUGUCAUGUCGAUUAUUGAUCCCCUCUGCAGCACGGCUGCAUGAAUCAACCUUGGUAAUUAUGUUCACCGUGGCAUUGUGGGCCUCAGAUGUUGGUUUUCAGGAGCGUGUAAACCUGUUUUCUGUUGCAAAGGCUCUUAUUCAAGGUCAGGGAUGAGAUCCAGUCCACGGGAUUAACUUUCAAACUCUCCUCAAUCUCACUUUAUCGGAGAACUCGUCAGAAAUGCGUGAAGUGAAACACGUCUUUUUGAUGCUGUCAGGCGUGGAGUUAAACUGAGGCUGAUCGGUUUUCUGUGAAAUCAUUUACAUCCUCGUUAGCCUGAUUUUAAAAAACUGUUUAUGAAAAAUCAAGUUUCCUGCUUCACUUUCAUUUCUGAUUGGUUCCUCUCUCUGACCUCCAUGAUGACCUUUUCUGUCACAUGAAGGUCUCUGCAGAAACUGUCCUGGUUCACCUGAAAACCACCAUCCAGGUGUGCUGAGGUCUUCAGGGACAGGAGUGAGCUGGACUCGGUCCUUCCUCAGUCCCAGAGCUCGUGGUGCACAGGUGGGUUUGGACCGUCCACGGUGUCACCUGUCCCUGCAGGGGUCCACCUGGUGUCUUCACUUUUCAUCCUUUCACUUUGUAGGAAAUAAUGAUGUUAAAUUCAGGGUGAGAGUUAUUAUCCUGGAGCCUUGACUCCGCCCCCUUUACCUGCUGUACAGUUCUGUAUCUGAUUAUCGGUUUAGGUUGAUUUAAGCUCCAGUCUGAUUAAAACGCAU